Non-coding RNA from Ophiobolus disseminans, 81 nucleotides. NCBI's taxonomy places the organism in Eukaryota, Fungi, Ascomycota, Dothideomycetes, Pleosporales, Phaeosphaeriaceae. The record is from the annotation of a GenBank genome assembly.
GGCGUGUUGGCGGAGUGGUUAUCGCGCAAGACUAGAAAUCUUGUUCCUUCGGGAGCGCAGGUUCGAAUCCUGCAUACGUCG